Molecule: long non-coding RNA, 514 nt
Organism: Trematomus bernacchii (emerald rockcod)
Lineage: Eukaryota; Metazoa; Chordata; Actinopteri; Perciformes; Nototheniidae
Exons: 3
Source: RefSeq, a predicted model, not a curated record
UGCUAGCGAAACUGAAAUAGACACAGACAGACAGAGAGGGCGGGACACGGGGGAACGGCGAGACGGCAGUGGUUGAAACAAAGCGGUAUGUUUUGACUGGCACUAACGGUCGAGGAGUGAAGAUCAGUUGAACGUUUCUGUGACUCCGCCCAGCGGCUGCUCUUCUGAGAGGCACUGCUCUGACAGCUCUGUCUACUGGGAAACGCGCUAAAAGUCCUUCUGGAGGUAAGCAACACUACACAAUUUCACCAAGUCUGAGAGUAAAAGCUUUCUCGAAGGUUCGUUUUGCUUUCUUACAACGUUACGUUAAUGUUAACUUAACCUUACGUUUGCUAGGAGGCUAGCUGUCUUAGCUAACAACAGUUAGCAGCUAACGUUUUCUGCAGUUUGUGUUUCCCCUGAAAAACGUGAUGCAGCUAUAAGUUGCUUUGCAUUUGAACCCCUAUGACUGGUUGCGGACGUGAAGGGAACGCCUUCCUGACAUCCAGGAAAAAGUUUUAUUGGACAGUAGAGA